GCUCUUUGUCUAUCGCACAGUGAAAAUAGGGGAACCCCCUCCAGUGCUCGUGCAGGCAGUGACGUGUGUACUAGUCUGAAGCCCCCUCAUACAUGAGACAACUGAGGAUGAAGCCAAGUCCUUCCGUGAAAUAAACAAAGCGCAUCGGAAGUCCCCAAAAAGCGCAUAAUUGACCAAGCGUUCUGUUUGCCGAUGAGGAAAGUGUGAAAGAGGCGCAGUCGCCACCACCGGUGAGCGCACAGAGUACUGACCACACGCGGGACACUUCUACUCCAGAGCGACUACGUGCCAACGACCUAGGACGGACUUUAUCCAACGAUUUAUUCAACUAUUUACUUGGCUGCUGAUUCCUCUCUGUUUCGUCCAUCGGGCGUACGGAAACAGGGAAGAAUAGGUGGGCCAGGAGAAAAGGAAAAAAAGACGCAACUAUGGCAAAAGCAAGGCUGACUGACUCCCCCGGAGUGUGUAAUGAGAAAUUACAAGAAGUAGACUCUCGUCUUGCCAUUCACCAGAGAGGACAUCAUAUUUGACAGCUCAAGGGACGUAAACAAAACAUGCGCUCCUUUUAGUGGAAACUAGAAACUGUUUCCGGAUUAAGUGGUGGCACAUUUUCAAUAACGCUCCUUUCUCUGAGAGGACUGACCACUUGGUCCGUCUCAUGAAGUCAUGCUCAUGCUUCGGUCGAGGAGUACAGUAUUUAUUAUUCUAUGACGUAGGGCACAGUGAUUGUCGUCCGUUUUGUCGGGACUCGUAGACUUAGAGGUCCGCAUUGGCGACAGAAAGUCCAAAAACUUCAGGGGGAUAGAGCAAAGAUGCCGGUUCGACGGGGUCACGUGGCACCACAGAAUACUUUCCUCGAUACUAUCAUUAGGAAAUUUGAUAGUCAAUGUCGUAAGUUCAUCAUCGCCAAUGCCCGGGUGGAGAACUGUGCCAUCAUAUUCUGCAACGAUGGCUUCUGCGCCAUGUGCGGCUACUCGCGAGCAGAGAUCAUGCAGAAACCCUGUACCUGUAACUUCCUGUACGGCCCUCAAACCAAGCGGUUGGCCAUCGCCCAGAUGGCCCAAGCACUGCUGGGCUCGGAAGAGAGGAAAAUGGAGAUCAACCUGUACAGGAAGGACGGUAGGACCAUACGCAGUGUGUGUGUGUGUGCGUGUGCGUGUGUGUGUUUUGCGGUGAGGUUGAAUACUUGUACAAGUUCAACCUGCUUAGUUACUAUGGUAUCCAAGAACCACUGUACCAUAUCUUCUAUACUUGGUUCAUAUUCAUGACUGUAUUUGCUAGUCUCUUGGUGUAUUCUCAAGUCCCCCCUCUGAUGCCUGAUCAUUGGUUGUGUCAGUCAUCCUGGUUUGUGAGGUCAUAUGGGGAAAACACUCAGGAGGAAUAUCCCGGGAACAUGCAGUGCUGCCUGGUCUAUCAGGCUCUGGGCUGGUGGCCAGUGACACACUACUCAAUCACCUCCAGGUAAUAGAGAUAGACACCCCCCCACCGGGUGAGAUAUGUCAGACAGGUCCAACUGAGGAAAGCACUACAGUAUGAUAGAGGAGUCAAAGAGAAAGAAAGACUGAUGAAGUGAGAUACUGAGAAAAGGUAUAGGUGAAAAAAAUAAAGGAAGAGAGAGGGCGGCUGCAGUUCUCAGUUCCUGGAGAGUCCCACUGGAAGGAGGUGAGAGAGAGGUGAGAGAGAGGUGAAAGAGAGGUGAGAGAGAGGUGAGAGACAGGUGAGAGAGAGGUGAGGGACAGGUGAGAGACAGGUGAGAGACAGGUGAGAGAGAGGUGAGAGACAGGUGAGAGAGAGGUGAGAGACAGGUGAGAGAGAGGUGAGAGAGAGGUGAGAGACAGGUGAGAGGUGAGAGACAGGUGAGAGAGAGUAAGAGUAAGAGAGUAAGACAAGGGAGAGGUUAGAAGAGAGAGAGGGAGAGAGAGAGAGAGAGAGAGAGAGAGAAA
Oncorhynchus kisutch (coho salmon) is the source of this 1943-nucleotide long non-coding RNA. RefSeq lists it as uncharacterized. The record is from RefSeq and is a predicted model, not a curated record. The transcript has 3 exons. Lineage: Eukaryota; Metazoa; Chordata; Actinopteri; Salmoniformes; Salmonidae.